This 632-nucleotide ribosomal RNA is filed under the name Salmonella enterica. RNAcentral describes it as "partial 23S ribosomal RNA". It matches the Rfam family "Bacterial large subunit ribosomal RNA", at positions 597 to 1230 of the family's 2925-position model. Lineage: Bacteria; Pseudomonadati; Pseudomonadota; Gammaproteobacteria; Enterobacterales; Enterobacteriaceae. The record is from RNAcentral.
CUGCGUACCUUUUGUAUAAUGGGUCAGCGACUUAUAUUCUGUAGCAAGGUUAACCGAAUAGGGGAGCCGGAGGGAAACCGAGUCUUAACCGGGCGUUAAGUUGCAGGGUAUAGACCCGAAACCCGGUGAUCUAGCCAUGGGCAGGUUGAAGGUUGGGUAACACUAACUGGAGGACCGAACCGACUAAUGUUGAAAAAUUAGCGGAUGACCUGUGGCUGGGGGUGAAAGGCCAAUCAAACCGGGAGAUAGCUGGUUCUCCCCGAAAGCUAUUUAGGUAGCGCCUCGUGAAUUCAUCUCCGGGGGUAGAGCACUGUUUCGGCUAGGGGGCCAUCCCGGCUUACCAACCCGAUGCAAACUGCGAAUACCGGAGAAUGUUAUCACGGGAGACACACGGCGGGUGCUAACGUCCGUCGUGAAGAGGGAAACAACCCAGACCGCCAGCUAAGGUCCCAAAGUCAUGGUUAAGUGGGAAACGAUGUGGGAAGGCCCAGACAGCCAGGAUGUUGGCUUAGAAGCAGCCAUCAUUUAAAGAAAGCGUAAUAGCUCACUGGUCGAGUCGGCCUGCGCGGAAGAUGUAACGGGGCUAAACCAUGCACCGAAGCUGCGGCAGCGACACUGUGUGUUGUUGGGUA